UACGGAGGGAGCUAGCGUUGUUCGGAAUUACUGGGCGUAAAGCGCGGGCAGGUGGCCUGUUAAGUCGUUUGUGAAAAUCCGGGGCUCAACCCCGUGAAAUGCGUACGAUACUGGCAGACUGGAGAUCGGUAGGGGCUAGCGGAAUUCCUGGUGUAGCGGUGGAAUGCGUAGAUAUCAGGAAGAGCACCUGUGGCGAAGGCGGCUAGCUGGGCCGAGUCUGACACUCAUCCGCGAAAGCGUGGGGAGCAAACAGG
This 254-nucleotide unclassified non-coding RNA is filed under the name uncultured Gemmatimonadota bacterium. RNAcentral describes it as "uncultured Gemmatimonadetes bacterium contains 16S-23S intergenic spacer region". It matches the Rfam family "Bacterial small subunit ribosomal RNA", at positions 524 to 776 of the family's 1533-position model. Lineage: Bacteria; Pseudomonadati; Gemmatimonadota. The record is from RNAcentral.